Molecule: unclassified non-coding RNA, 3701 nt
Filed under: Amphibalanus amphitrite
Lineage: Eukaryota; Metazoa; Arthropoda; Thecostraca; Balanomorpha; Balanidae
Description: uncharacterized LOC122366395, transcript variant X1
Source: RNAcentral
AAUGUUUUCGGCAAGGUAUAUUGGUUUUCGGGACAUUUGAAAGUUGAAUUGGGGGUCGCCGCGGAUAUAUUUAUUAUUCAUAGGCGUCGUGGGUUGUUGCGUGGUGGUCAUGGGGCAUCAGUUGGUGAUUUAUAACAUUUUGCUUUGAUUUCUGAUUGCUGAUGAUUUAAAUUAUAUGAUGGUUUACUGUGCGGAACCUUCGUGUAGAAAUGGGUCCGGGAGGAGAAAUAACCAGGCGUCCGGCACCAAAUAUCAUAAGUUCCCAGCGGAUGAAGUGAUGGCAAGGCGAUGGUGGCAGGUCAUAAAAAGAGGGGAGCCGUUCCCGAAGAACUUCCGCCAGUAUUGUUUGUGUUCUUCACAUUUUGUAACUGCUGAUUAUGAAAGAGACCUCAGGUCAGAACUGCUUAAGUUGUCCCCGCAGUAUUCUGCCAUGAAGCUGCUGCCUACAUCAGUCCCAUCCAGGAACCUGACUCGUCCUCCAAGAGUCACAACACCAAGGAGUGGUGCUGCUACACAGAGAGGUGGAGAGGAAGAUGAGUCAAGGCAGGUGCAAGAAGAAGGAGAACAAGCAGCUCCCAAAGGCUCAUCACUCCAAGCAGAAGAAUGCCUGCAUUCAGAUGCAUCUGUACAGACGAAGUGUGAGCCUUCAAAGUGUACCAGAUGCCCAGCACUUGAGGCUGAACUGGCAAGCCUGAAGAGCAAACUGGCAGAGCUACACCAGCUGCAAGCCCCCUCAAGUGCACUGAAACGACACCUGUUCACAGACCAGCAGGCUGAGAACCUCUUCACUGGCAAGGCACCAUACCGGUGGGACGACGAAUCAGUGUACAAGGCUCUGGAGGUCAGAGUCAACACGUCCAGGGUGCAGUACGAGUGGCUCCGAAACCACUGCUUGCCCCUGCCAAGUCUGUCUACCCUACAGAGGUGGCUCGCUGACUUCGUUUUGGCGCCCAACUCAUCUGAUGUGCAGGUCAGGAUGCUCAGGAGACUCCUCUCGUCCAUGAGUGAGCAGGACAGGUGCUGCUGCAUCAUGAUGGAUGAAAUGGACAUCAUGGGUGUGGCCACCUAUGACAACCAGCUUGAUCAGAUCUUGGGUCCCCACAAACACCUUCAGCUCUUCCUUGUGAGUGGGAUCUUCACGACAUGGAAGCUUCCCAUGUUGUACGCGUUCGACACGCCUGUGACCAAGGAACUGCUGCUGAAGCUGAUCAAGGCUGUCGAAGGAGCCGGCGGCCGAGUCGUCAGCACCGUCAGCGACAUGGGCUCGGGCAACCUGGCGCUGUGGCGGAGCCUGGGCAUCGGCCACGACGCUGAAGCGUCCAUCUGCACUACCCCGCCGACCCUUCGAGGAUGCUUGCACAUUGUCAUCAGCACCAUCAUAUCCUAACCCAUCAUUUGAUCAUAUCCUUCUAUACCUGACUACCAUAUCCAAUUCUGUCCUUUCCUCAGACGGAUUUGGGUGUUCGCCGACCCUCCCCACAUCAUGAAGCGUUUGCGUAACCACAUCCUCGACAGCGUCAUCCACACGAGGCAGGGUGGCCGCGUGGACCGCGCUCUCAUCCAGGACCUCCUCGCCAUCGACGGAGACUCGGAGCUGAAGCUUCUUCACAAACUACAACCGGCCACACAUGUCGAGGUCGUUGGCAUGGCUCGGCAGAAAGUGCGCCCAGCCUACCAACUGCUGAGCGCGUCAUGCGCCCUGGCACUUCGGCGUUACACCGAGAAGAAAGUGGAGGCAGACUUCUUCAGCAUCUUGGACGCCGGGAUGGACGUCCUAAACGCAGGUCACCCCGCUGACGUGAAGUUACUCCGGCGUGGCUACUCUGGCCGACCGGAGCAGGAAGACGCCCUGACGGCCCUGGUCGAGGAAGUGGCGGCGUUCCGGGUCGGCAAAGCGGGCUUCCUCUACCCUUUCCAAAAGGGCCUUCUGGUCACCGUCCGUGCAGUGCGAGGUGUGCUGGCGGACCUCCAGGCCAGGUUCGGCGACAACACCUACCUGUUGACGCGACACCUAACGCAGGACCGACUGGAGAGUUUCUUCGGUCUGGUGCGGGGACGCGGCGGUGGGAACCUGAACCCCACGCCCACAGAGGCGAAGGCCCGUCUGCGGCUGCUGACGCUGCUGCAGCUGACCCGGCACGGCGUCAGCCCGAAAUGUACAGGUGACGGCGGAGAGACGGACGCCGUGCCUGACGUCUCGCAGCCGGAGCCCGACGCCAUGCCUGCGGCGCAGCCGGAGCCCGACGCCGUGCCUGCGGCGCAGCAGGAGCUCGACGAGGAGCCGCCGCCGCCUCCGCAGCUGCUGGAGCUGGAGGAGGUUUGCCCCGCGCCCACGGAGGAGAUCCCGGAGGGGACUGAACACCUGGUGCAGGAGCCGGACGACGAGCCGUCGCCGGAUGCUGAGGAGGAGGCAGAACGGGAGCUUCUGGACGCCGAGCUCGGAGAGGCGUGCCAUGACACGGGUGAACCUGAACAGGAAAUGGAGCCACGUGAACAGACUAGCGAGCUGGUCUCCCUGCUGGCAGAGGCAGGUUCAGUCCACAUCCCGGGUCAGCCGUCUGGUGCCCGUGAUUGUGAAACCGGAGUGCUGGCGUCCGACAGUGCUCUGGCUCACGUCGCAGGUUACGUUGCGCGAAAGCGCCCGCGAUCCCUCGGCGCACCCUCCGCCCAUGCCGAGGACGUCCCCGUCCAGGCACUGUGGACGCGGCUGCGCAGUGUUGGAGGUAUGACUGUUCCCACCGAGUCUUUCUUGGAACUGUGCAGGGAGCUCGAGACCUGUUUCUGUGCCUACCAUGCGAUGCACCCCGAUGGGCUCAGUCGAGAGCGCGGCGUCAUCCGCAACGCCACCCGUAUGAUGGUCGAGAAAUAUUCGCGGAGCGUGCCGUGUGACAAAAUCCUGAAAGUGUUCGUUCGUGUGCGAACCUUUAUCCGCCUGCGAACAGUGAACUCGACUCGACGUGCGGAGACGCUGGCUAAGCGGAAGGUGCGGAAGCUGCGUCACCACGCACAGUAAACAGAUUGGCAGAGGCACACAUCAUUCAUUACAUCGCGAUAUUAUUUAUUGAUCUCUUGAGCCUUUCUUUUUUGUUACAGCUGGGUAGUCGUUCAGUUUGUGCCUGAAUCGAGUUUCCAGACCUUCUGCUAGCUACCGUCUCCACACGGCGAACUGGGUCCAAUUUGUGACAGGUGCUCGAAAAUGCGUCCGUGUACAGUGAGGGCGGAAAUGAUGUGAUGUCGCUUAGGAGCCACUCGUGAUGUAUCGUUUUCAUGAUUCAUUUUCCUUAAACUAGCUUGACUGUUAGCUGGCAACGUGCCAUUUUAUGUUGCACACAUCUGCGAUGAUCGACGGCCAGCGCCUGCUGGCGGCACCGCUGCCGCCGCCCAGCGCCGCCUCUGCCCGCCGCCGGCGCCCAGCAGCCACCUGCGGUGGAGGCUGUCCCCGACGCACCCCGACGCUCACGCCGAAGGCGCCUCGCGCGGCGUCGCCUCCAAGUUCGGUGGGGCGCAAUCUCUUACCGCGGGCGAGGGGACAAUUGAGCUUCAUGUUGCACAGUAUUUGUUGAUUUCCGUUAUUGUCCGCAACAAUUGUCUCAAGGGAGAGAUGUGAUGUCGUCUGAUGUAAGAUGAUAUGUGAUGUGAUGGAGAUGUGAUUCCGUCUACCCACUAACCCCUCCCCUCGCUGAAUACAGCUCUGUUCCUGA